RNAcentral lists this unclassified non-coding RNA (243 nucleotides) under uncultured Entoloma. RNAcentral's name for it is "sequence contains ITS1". Lineage: Eukaryota; Fungi; Basidiomycota; Agaricomycetes; Agaricales; Entolomataceae. The record is from RNAcentral.
UUGAAUAAAAUCGGUUUGGGUUGUUGCUGGCUCUUUUUGGAGCAUGUGCACGCUCAUUCCAUUUUCUUAACCACCUGUGCACAUACUGUAGUCCUGAAGUGAACUUUUUCGAGGUGAAACUCGGUUUGAGAACUGCGAAAGCUGUUCUUGCAUUUCAGGUCUAUGUUUUCAAACAUAUACUCCGUGAAAAAAGUAACUGAAUGUUAAUUUAUGGCCCAUUUUGUGCCUUUAAACAAUCUAAUA